CACGAAUCAAGACGAGCUAAAUUUAAAUAAAUAUUAGUUUUGAGAAUGUUGCAUAAUUAUUAAAAAAUUAAGUUUAGGGGUGAUAGGCCUCUCAAGUCUUGUGAUAACUUGAAACUUAUGAGGGGUAUUUAGUACACAAAUAAUAAAGAAGCGCCAAGAUUUCUUUAAAAUAUUAAACAUCGAAUACCAAUUAAUUAUAAUAUAACUAUUAAAUUACUAAAUAAUAGAACAUUUUUUUGAGAAGUAUUAUUGAGUAUAAUAGGUGAUGUUUUUAACGCGUGAAACAUAAAUAAUGUUACUAUAAGUAAUUAAUAUAAGUAUUGAGUAUGAACUCGGCAAUAUUUUCUUCAACUGUUUAUCAAAAACAUAGCUGGUAGUUUAAAUUAUCAGUAUCUUCUGCUCCAUGAAUUUUAAAUAGCCGCAGUACCCUGACUGUGCUAAGGUAGCAUAAUCAAUUGGCUUGUAAUUUAAGUCUAGAAUGAAUGAAGACAUGGGGAAAAGCUAUAUUUCAAUAUUUAAUAAAUUUACUUAGUAAGUGAAAAUUCUUAUAGAAUAAUAAUAGACGAGAAGACCCUAGAAAUUUUAAGAAGUUGAAAUAAAGGGUUUUUGUUGGGGCAACAGCGUAACAUAUAAUCUACGUGUAAAACAAGCAAUUUGUUUGAAAGAUUAAAUUACUCUAGGGAUAACAGCGUAAUGUAGAAACGUUUGCGACCUCGAUGUUGGACUAGGAAUUAUAAGCUCAGAU
Molecule: ribosomal RNA, 745 nt
Filed under: Xanthomelon arnhemense
Lineage: Eukaryota; Metazoa; Mollusca; Gastropoda; Stylommatophora; Camaenidae
Description: partial 16S ribosomal RNA
Source: RNAcentral